This 730-nucleotide ribosomal RNA is filed under the name uncultured Micromonospora sp. RNAcentral describes it as "bacterial SSU rRNA". It matches the Rfam family "Bacterial small subunit ribosomal RNA", at positions 67 to 817 of the family's 1533-position model. Lineage: Bacteria; Bacillati; Actinomycetota; Actinomycetes; Micromonosporales; Micromonosporaceae. The record is from RNAcentral.
CGGAAGGCCCUUCGGGGUACUCGAGCGGCGAACGGGUGAGUAACACGUGAGCAACCUGCCCUAGGCUUUGGGAUAACCCCGGGAAACCGGGGCUAAUACCGAAUAUGACUUCUGGUCGCAUGACCGGUGGUGGAAAGUUUUUCGGCCUGGGAUGGGCUCGCGGCCUAUCAGCUUGUUGGUGGGGUGAUGGCCUACCAAGGCGACGACGGGUAGCCGGCCUGAGAGGGCGACCGGCCACACUGGGACUGAGACACGGCCCAGACUCCUACGGGAGGCAGCAGUGGGGAAUAUUGCACAAUGGGCGGAAGCCUGAUGCAGCGACGCCGCGUGAGGGAUGACGGCCUUCGGGUUGUAAACCUCUUUCAGCAGGGACGAAGCGUAAGUGACGGUACCUGCAGAAGAAGCGCCGGCCAACUACGUGCCAGCAGCCGCGGUAAGACGUAGGGCGCGAGCGUUGUCCGGAUUUAUUGGGCGUAAAGAGCUCGUAGGCGGCUUGUCGCGUCGACUGUGAAAACCCGCAGCUCAACUGCGGGCCUGCAGUCGAUACGGGCAGGCUAGAGUUCGGUAGGGGAGACUGGAAUUCCUGGUGUAGCGGUGAAAUGCGCAGAUAUCAGAGGAACACCGGUGGCGAAAGCGGGUCUCUGGGCCGAUACUGACGCUGAGGAGCGAAAGCGUGGGGAGCGAACAGGAUUAGAUACCCUGGUAGUCCACGCUGUAAACGUUGGGCGCU